RNAcentral lists this ribosomal RNA (228 nucleotides) under uncultured bacterium. RNAcentral's name for it is "partial 16S ribosomal RNA". It matches the Rfam family "Bacterial small subunit ribosomal RNA", at positions 103 to 334 of the family's 1533-position model. The record is from RNAcentral.
CGGGUGAGUAAUGUAUGGGGAUCUGCCUGAUGGCGGGGGAUAACUACUGGAAACGGUAGCUAAUACCGCAUAAUGUCUACGGACCAAAGCGGGGGACCUCCGGGCCUCGCGCCAUCAGAUGAACCCAUAUGGGAUUAGCUUGUAGGUAAGGUAACGGCUUACCUAGGCGACGAUCCCUAGCUGGUCUGAGAGGAUGAUCAGCCACACUGGAACUGAGACACGGUCCAG